RNAcentral lists this long non-coding RNA (1660 nucleotides) under Canis lupus familiaris (dog). RNAcentral's name for it is "lncRNA (ENSCAFG00000055014.1, ENSCAFG00805019170.1, ENSCAFG00845021227.1)". The record is from RNAcentral. Lineage: Eukaryota; Metazoa; Chordata; Mammalia; Carnivora; Canidae.
AUUGUGGGUGGGGUGUUCUCUUACUCAUCCAUGACAACCAUUUUCAUUCAUUCAUUUUAAAUGUGGGUGGGGUAGGAGUGCUAGGAGGGAUUUCUCUGCCUGAAAACUGCCAGAAAAGGGAAGGAAUCUGAGAACAAAACUAAGAGAGGGAGGAGUAAAUAUCAUCGCUCCACUGCUGGAUUUGUCUAAACUUUAUUUUAUGAUUAGAUUGUUUUCAUUUUUGCCUUGUUAUGUUUUUGGUUGCUAUUUGAUUUUCAGAUUUCAUCCUUAAAGCAAGCAAUGAGGUUACUUUCCAUUUCAAUAGUAAAAUCUAGCUGUUGGCCAGAUCUGAAGGAAGACACCUCAACACAAGAAACCCUCUUUUUCGCUGGUGCUGUCACUGAAUAGGCUGUCAAUGGAAAAUUUGAAAGGCAGAUUAAUUCUCCUGCAAAGGAAUCCUGGAUUUCAAUUUCCAGCCACACUUCUGACAGGCUAUGUGGCAUAAGGCAUUUACAGGAGGGAGAAGGGGGGGGAAGACUAGUCCCAGAUUAGUCAGGUUUGCAUAUGGAGGAUCAAAGUAGACUCUCAACAUAAUACAGGUAUCCUUGCUUUUUGAAAUUGCAUUUUGCCACUUUGCUUUUAUGAAAGACCUACAUUCGUACCUCCUACCAUUAACCUAAAGAAACCCAAAGAGGGUUUUCGCUUUUAGGCAAACUGCAAGCAGGGGGAGUGGCACCGCCAAGCUCUUCCCCUGGGAACUACAAGACUCAGCAUCUCAGCCUCAAGCAGCUAUUAGCUUUGACCUGUGUCUGUGAGCAUCUGUACUUCAUCUCAUUUUAUUUUGUGUAUCCACUAGCAAGAUGUGCACUAUGGUAUUAGAAAAGGGUCUGGGAAGGCUCAAAAGUAUUUCCAUAUAAACUAAUGGUAACUGUUUCUUUGCUUUACACCAUUUCAGCUUAAGGAUAGGUUUCAUAGGAACACUACUUUCCCAUAGCAAGGGAAACCUGUAGUCCUAAUUAGAAAGGUAGUCGUAAGAGAGACAAAGGGGCUUUUCCUCCAGCUAGUAACUAUUCAGAUGAUGGACAAGACUUCUUUCAUAAAAGCUUACAAAGGAGGCAUCCAAAAUACUGUCUGUGAUAGUGGGUCACAUAUUAGUCACUGCAGCUAAUUGUAAAUCUUUCUAUGAAAUACUGAAAAGCCUCUUUGUGAAUUAAUACAGUUCUGCUUGAUGCACUUGAUUUGAAAUGACUUUUCUCUGUAUGUGGUGCAUGUCAGCUUUGCUUUGAAAAAUAACAAAGUUAGCAGAAUAUGUUCAAUAUAUUUUCUUGGGGAAUAGGGUUUUUAUCAUAUGAUUCAUUAAGGAUUUGCCUUACCCUGACAUUUGUGAUAUAAAGGAAAAUCAGAAAAAAAAAGUAAUUUUCUUGAUCAAAAUAUGUUUUUACUUAAUGCAAAUAAAUGUAGUCUGUUGCUUGCAAGGAAAAAAAAUGUCUUCUGAUAUCUGGUAUAAACUGCUAAAUAGAAUAAUACGUGCCUCUUUUGUUAAACCAGCAUUUAAAUGCUGGACUGCUUCUAAAUCUGUUUGUUUCUUUUCAUCUGUGCCAUACACUAAGAAACUUAAACAACUGUUGCCUUCCUACUAUAUUUGUUAGAGCAGAAUAUGAAUAAAAUUGGUUUGAGAGGA